ACGAACGCUUGCGGCGUGCUUCACCCCUGCAAGUCGAACGGAAAGGCCCUGCUUGCAGGGUACUCGAGUGGCGAACGGGUGAGUAACACGUGGGUGAUCUGCCCUGCACUUCGGGAUAAGCCUGGGAAACUGGGUCUAAUACCGGAUAGGAGCCAUUUUUAGUGUGAUGGUUGGAAAGUUUUUUCGGUGUAGGAUGAGCUCGCGGCCUAUCAGCUUGUUGGUGGGGUAAUGGCCUACCAAGGCGGCGACGGGUAGCCGGCCUGAGAGGGUGGACGGCCACAUUGGGACUGAGAUACGGCCCAGACUACUACGGGAGGCAGCAGUGGGGAAUAUUGCACAAUGGGCGCAAGCCUGAUGCAGCGACGCCGCGUGGGGGAUGACGGCCUUCGGGUUGUAAACUCCUUUCGCUAGGGACGAAGCUUUUGUGACGGUACCUAGAUAAGAAGCACCGGCUAACUACGUG
RNAcentral lists this ribosomal RNA (463 nucleotides) under uncultured bacterium. RNAcentral's name for it is "partial 16S ribosomal RNA". It matches the Rfam family "Bacterial small subunit ribosomal RNA", at positions 29 to 507 of the family's 1533-position model. The record is from RNAcentral.